AACGAACGCUGGCGGCGUGGAUAAGACAUGCAAGUCGAACGGGAACUUCAGCUGUAGCAAUACAGUUGAAGUUUUAGUGGCGAACGGGUGCGUAACACGUGGGCAAUCUGCCGAGAAGUGGGGGAUAGCUCGCCGAAAGGCGAAUUAAUACCGCAUAUGAUCAGCUAAGACAUCUUAGCGACAUCAAAGCCGGGGCAACCUGGCGCUUUUUGAGGAGCCCGCGGCCUAUCAGCUAGUUGGUGAGGUAACGGCUCACCAAGGCUAUGACGGGUAGCUGGUCUGAGAGGACGACCAGUCACACUGGAACUGAGACACGGUCCAGACACCUACGGGUGCAGCAGUCGAGAAUUUUUCNCAAUGGGGCAACCCUGAAGGAGCGACGCCGCGUGGAGGAUGAAGG
Molecule: ribosomal RNA, 400 nt
Filed under: uncultured bacterium
Lineage: Bacteria
Description: bacterial SSU rRNA
Rfam family: Bacterial small subunit ribosomal RNA
Source: RNAcentral